CCUACGGGUGGCUGCAGUGGGGAAUAUUGGACAAUGGGCGAAAGCCUGAUCCAGCCAUGCCGCGUGUGUGAAGAAGGCCUUCGGGUUGUAAAGCACUUUCAGUGGGGAAGAAAGCCUUGGGGCUAAUACCCUCGAGGAAGGACAUCACCCACAGAAGAAGCACCGGCUAACUCCGUGCCAGCAGCCGCGGUAAUACGGAGGGUGCGAGCGUUAAUCGGAAUUACUGGGCGUAAAGCGCGCGUAGGCGGUCUGAUAAGCCGGCUGUGAAAGCCCCGGGCUCAACCUGGGAACGGCAUCCGGAACUGUCAGGCUAGAGUGCAGGAGAGGAAGGUAGAAUUCCCGGUGUAGCGGUGAAAUGCGUAGAGAUCGGGAGGAAUACCAGUGGCGAAGGCGGCCUUCUGGACUGACACUGACGCUGAGGUGCGAAAGCGUGGGUAGCAAACAGGAUUAGAUACCCCAGUAGUC
Molecule: ribosomal RNA, 465 nt
Filed under: Vreelandella stevensii
Lineage: Bacteria; Pseudomonadati; Pseudomonadota; Gammaproteobacteria; Oceanospirillales; Halomonadaceae
Description: partial 16S ribosomal RNA
Rfam family: Bacterial small subunit ribosomal RNA
Source: RNAcentral